AUGCAUCAGAGCUCCGACCUNUGGGGACGAGCG
RNAcentral lists this ribosomal RNA (33 nucleotides) under Aphonopelma chalcodes. Lineage: Eukaryota; Metazoa; Arthropoda; Arachnida; Araneae; Theraphosidae. The record is from RNAcentral.